Molecule: long non-coding RNA, 277 nt
Organism: Thunnus maccoyii (southern bluefin tuna)
Lineage: Eukaryota; Metazoa; Chordata; Actinopteri; Scombriformes; Scombridae
Exons: 3
Source: RefSeq, a predicted model, not a curated record
CCUUCAUCGCCUCGCCAGCAUCAAUCAGCGCCAGGCCUGGAGAGAAGGGAUGGAAAAUAGACAGAGAGAGAGAGCGUGCAACGAUCACUGUGAUGCGUGAUCUGAUGGAGCUGAUCAUUUAUUUAGAUACUACUUUUUGGAUCAACCGGAGAGACUAAAGCGGGGAGUGUCAGAUGAUGGGAGCAACUUGGACUCCUCCCCCAACUCCCGUCCAAACUUCAACAUGGCGUCUCCCAGGACAGACUCAGCCUGUGGGUAACCAGGUCCCUUCUCCUGC